This 445-nucleotide ribosomal RNA is filed under the name uncultured bacterium. RNAcentral's name for it is "partial 16S ribosomal RNA". It matches the Rfam family "Bacterial small subunit ribosomal RNA", at positions 354 to 796 of the family's 1533-position model. The record is from RNAcentral.
GUGAGGAAUAUUGGACAAUGGGCGCAAGCCUGAUCCAGCCAUGCCGCGUGCAGGAAGACGCAUCUAUGGUGUGUAAACUGCUUUUGUACGGGAAGAAACACUCCCUCGUGAGGGAGCUUGACGGUACCGUAAGAAUAAGGAUCGGCUAACUCCGUGCCAGCAGCCGCGGUAAUACGGAGGAUCCAAGCGUUAUCCGGAAUCAUUGGGUUUAAAGGGUCCGUAGGUGGUUUAAUAAGUCAGUGGUGAAAGCCCAUCGCUCAACGAUGGAACGGCCAUUGAUACUGUUAGACUUGAAUUACAAGGAAGUAACUAGAAUAUGUAGUGUAGCGGUGAAAUGCUUAGAUAUUACAUGGAAUACCAAUUGCGAAGGCAGGUUACUACUUGUGGAUUGACGCUGAUGGACGAAAGCGUGGGGAGCGAACAGGAUUAGAUACCCCAGUAGUCC